Molecule: long non-coding RNA, 1020 nt
Filed under: Phaseolus vulgaris (common bean)
Lineage: Eukaryota; Viridiplantae; Streptophyta; Magnoliopsida; Fabales; Fabaceae
Description: long non-coding RNA (PVUL_LNC003370)
Source: RNAcentral
CAGACUACCUUUCAUUUAAGAAAGAAGGCAUAUAAUUCUAAAAAAAAAAUUACUUAACAGAAAAAAUUACAUGAAGUAAAUUUCUUCUUCAAAAAACUAAAACAAAAUCUAGAAACGGAAAAUAAUCUUUCCUCCCGUGACUUCUUCCUAAAGAAGAAGAAGCGACCACACUUGUACUUUGAUACUGUAAUCAAUGAGAUUUGUUCUUGGGAGAGACCAUGACUCUCAGUUCCAACUGUCUCACCUAAUUCAAGUAGUUCCUGCGAUAAAUAAAAUUAUAUCAAUGUGAAAAAAGGUUUAAAGAAUAAAACCAAGUGAAAGAAGUCUGUUUUUCCAACUAUUACAAGGGAUUUAGAUUUUCAUUUAACCAAGCCUUUUCUACCACCAGGCGGCACAUCAUUAGCAAGUAGAAAGGGAUUUAGAGAGAAGAUAAAAGAAUAUUGUCUCAGAAUUUCUUCAAUAACUAACAUGAAAAAGGAUACUAUUAAGAAAAAGUAUUAUACUAUUAUAACGAAGGAGGACAAAAAGAGUUUGAAGACUUCUACAACUAAGUUGUUUGAUUAUAACGUGAUUAUCAGAACGACACACAUGCCAUAUAACCCCCAUCAACUAGUAAACCGUGAUAAUUUAAAUUGGAUGGUCGGCCCUAUAGUUGUUUGUUACAUUAGUGUUUCACACACCCAUCCAUUGGUUUUGAACCCUUAUUAACUUCCACGACCCUGUUAGUCUAUUUUUUAUAGGGGGGAGGCAAGGGUUAUCGAUAUCAUGCUUUCUUGCUUGUUUAAACCACACACCAAACAAACAAAUGAAAUUACACUACACUCAACGCUAAAAGGAAAGCAAAGCAAUAAACAAAUAACCCCGUAUCAAACGAUGCAAAAUACAUACCUCAAUGGAAAUCGCACUCUUAAACGAAAGUCGCCGCAAUCGAAAACGCCCCAAUCGAAAACCCUAAUCCAUCCAAAUCCCGCUUUUGCUUUCGCUAAACGGCAUUGAUAGUUGUCGUUUUGCUGUCAAAUU